GCUGCGCACACACACAAAAAAAUCCAACCUAAAUUGAAAAUAAAAUAAACACGUAACAAUUCAUUCUGUGCUAUUUUUCAAUGUGAGUCAGUGAGUGACCGGUGACUGGCUGCUGCAGCCAAUGAUGCGAUUCACAUACGUAUUUACCAUAGACUGUAUAUAAUGGUAUUUACGCAGCUAAUCAACGUCUGGCGUCCUUAUGUGCAGCCAUCGUUGUUCUCAUAGAUAUGAAUGAGUAGAUAGGACACGCCCCUUUGAGCUGCGUGCUACUGCGAGGCUAAGCUAGUGGGGGAAAAGUUUCAGUGCAUUCCGUUGAUGUAGACGGCGUGAAAAGGGAAACAAGUAUGCCGGCUCACUGUGCUGCAUACAGUUAUACACUACGUCGUACGACUGAGACAAGGAAACUUGGAAUGACUUUUCAUAGGUUUCCCAGAGACUAUGGGUUGAGGAGGAAGUGGAAGUUUGUCGGCUUAGACCUGGUGUCAUUCCAUCAGUGUUAAACUUCCCGGCUCAUCUUGGAAGAGUAUGUGCCAGAAAGACCACGACCAAGCAGCCUUGAGAUCUUAGGCAGUGUCUCCCUGAGGUCCCUCUCUAUCUCCCCACACAUCCACCAACCACUGGAACACAUCUCCAAAGUUCUGCUGGGCCAGCUCAGCUUCCCCUCAGAAGAAGUGCCGCCACCUGCCAGAUGAAGGAGCCUUUUGAGAGGCAGCUGGCAUCAUGAUUGGACUGUACUUUGGUCUGUUCCAAUCCAGCUUCAGCUGCAGAGACGGCAGGCGGGACGAGUCAACGGAGGCCGGAUGGACGAAGACAUGCAGCUGAGUACAAUCCAGAAAACAACAGAGGAGGAGUGCAGUGGCCCAGUGCCAGAACAAACAGAGUAGCAUCGUAUGUCUCUUAGGGUGCUUUCACACCUACGUCUUUUAGUCCGCUUAAAGCGGACUGGAGUCCGGAACACCUGCAAGUACGGUUCGUUUGGGCUGAUGUGAAAGCAUACCAGAUUUUUUUGGUUCGGACUAACGAACCGCACCGAGACCACCUUCGGGAGGUGGUCUCGGUCCGCUUCUAUGUGAACUCCAGUUCGGUUCGCUCCUGGUGAGAACACAAACCUGUCUCCAUUCGGACCACUUGAUGGCGCAGCAGACUUUUUGGUCUACGGGAGCUUCCGUAGCAACCUGCACAGGGAAUUUUACGCCAAUCAGCGUACACCUACGUCAUCAUAAACGCCUUGUUUUGUAAACAGCGCCGCCAAACGACUGGGGGGAGAUAUAACAUUAAUUGGAGUAGGUUCACCUGCGAAAACACUGGUGUGAGUGCGAACCGAACCAGUUGAAAAUAGCAACAUUGUAACAACUUUUGGGUCCAAACGAACCACUUUAGUGGACUAACAGGUGUGAAAGCACCCUUACAAAACAUCAUAGUAUAGCCUUUGGUAUGAAAAAACACCAUCAUAUACAUUGUAUAUUGUACAAAUAGGUCAAAGGAAAGAGACAUACAUUGUAGAAUUGUAGUAAUUGUGGGCUGACUGAUUUACGGAUUAUCAGUGUUUUAUUUUUACUGAUUUACGGUAAUAAAUCAAUUUAAAAAUGGCGCUACUUUGGCUCUGAACCUUAAUCUACCUGUGGUCGCUCUGUCUUCUGGAGUGAUUUGAUUGGUUAUGUGUCACGAAUAAAACUCCUUUAACUUAACAUCUGUAAACAAAACAAAAACGUAUCAACAAAGUUUCCUGUUAGAGUUUGUGUUCUUCUAAGUUUAACUCCAAGAUUUUAAAUACUUUCAUUUACUGCAAAUGAAUAUCUACUCCAAAUGUCUCACUAAUAAUCAUUAUCAGCCUUAAAAACCCACAAAACACCCCUCUAUACUGGACCACACUUAGUACAGUCCGGUUCCCCCUUCUAUAAAUCUGCUUGGAAUCAUCCACUUCCUGUUUGUCAAAGUGGCCUUCUACCUGGACAGGUUUUGUUGGAGCUCAUGCAACAAACAUUUUGGGUAACUGCACUUUAAUAUGGAUGGAUGACACUGAAUUAGAGUCUGUUUUAAUGAGACUGAGUUAAGAUGUGUAGCUCUGUCAUUAAAUAGUAAAUUAUUACUCAGAAUUCACAGAGAAAAGUCUGAAAUGUUUGCUAGGUUAGCAUGCCACAUGUUCUUUGGCUCAGCUAAAGCUAACUCUCUCCAACUUCUGGAUCUCUUGAGUUACUUGUUGUUAAAAUAUCUUGCUGUAGGUGCUGAAGCUCAGAAAGUCUGAGAUGUUUGUUCAGAAUAAGCUCAUUCUCAAGUCUGAUCUGAACUGUUCUCUUUUGUUUGAACUUUCCCUAAACUUAGGAGUUAAUGACAGAGCAGCACAUCCAGACUCAGUCUCAUUUAUGUAGCGAUUAAACUUCAGUGUCAUUCAUUGAUGUUAAAGUGCAGUUUUUCAAAUGUUUGUUACACAUGCUCCCGACCAAACCAGUCCAGGUGGAAGAUGAUGUGAAGAGAAAGCUCCAGAGGAUGAAUAUCACACAUUUACGUUGGAAAUAAAUGUCCUUUAAUUAGACAUUGUCAUGCAAAAGUUGGAUUUCCCUUUAAUGAUGUUCAAAUCUUUGUUGAGUGUUUUGUUGUUAUUGGUUUCUAAAUGUUUUUUGACACUCGGCUCCAAAGAUUAAAACCUUUUACGGCUCACAAGCUGCAACAAUUCACACAUUAUCAACUAUCUUUCUGAUUAAACUAAGAUAAAAAGUGAAAAACUGUCUGAUUCCUGCAUCAUGAAUGUAAAUCUUUUUGGUUUUUAAGAACGUAAACUGAAUAUAUUUGGGCUUGACAUUUUUUAAACCAAAACAAGAAAUGAAUUACUGGAGAAAACAAUCAACAGAUUAAUGGUCAAAGAAAAUGUGUUUUCCAACAUAUAUGGCUGAAUUACUCCAACAUUACAAGAUACAUACAAUAUAAAUUCAAUUUUAUUUAUAUAACUCCAAUUACAGGUCAAAUUGUCUCGACUUUAUUUUUACAUUUUUUUUGUCAUAUUUAAAAUAUGACAAAGUAAGAAAUUUAAACCUCUUUACUAAUCCAAUUUAUUAUUUUGUUUUUAAGAGACUAAUAGACAAUUAAAAUAAGUUUCUCCACUAAAACUAAUAAACAUGAGGUCAAAUAGAAGGAACAGUUUUAAAUACUGCAGUCCCACGACGACAAGAAUAAAGUUUGUCAACAAAAACAAAAUCUGCUGGUGGAUUCCAUUAAAGUCCUAAUAAAUGAUAAAGUGUGAUACUAAAGGUUUGGGGUGCUAAAAAUGUCUAAAGAUAUGAAGUUGAACAUCUGGAUGGAGGUUGAUAAAAGUUUCUCUCCCUUCAUUUCUCUGGAGCUGACUCCAUGGAUUUUAUGGAUGGUGGUUAAAGAGCUGCUCUUCUAGUCGUCGUCCUUCUAGUCUCUGUAAAAAGUCAGUCCAUCCUGGCUGACUUCAACACCUCUUCAUGACAGCUUGUUCUGCCUCCGACCUCGUGGAAACUCAAGAAACUCAGGAAAACCUGUGGAGACUCGAAG
Amphiprion ocellaris (clown anemonefish) is the source of this 3513-nucleotide long non-coding RNA. RefSeq lists it as uncharacterized. NCBI's taxonomy places the organism in Eukaryota, Metazoa, Chordata, Actinopteri, Pomacentridae. The record is from RefSeq and is a predicted model, not a curated record. The transcript has 3 exons.